ACGAAGCUUGGAGAAGUUGUGGAAUUAGUUCGAACGAUUUUAUUUUCGAAAACGAACGUUUUUAGGGGGUCAACAAAGUUGACUUUUUAUACGUUCAAAAUUUGGGAAAACUUCCUUCAUGAAAGUUGUAGAGCUCGUCGAUACGAGUUCGUGGACAUGUGGAACGCAUUAUUCGGAGUUCGUAUGAUUAAGUUAUGAAUAUUUGAAAAUUGGGAAUUUUCUAUAAAUAGGAAAAAUAACUGAUUUUUUUUAUUUAAGGACAAAAAAAAUUUCUUUUUGCGGAAGAGCCCCCAGCCCUCCCCGAUUCUCUCUCUCUGUUUUCCCCUCAGACCCGGCGGGUCGAGCUCGACCCGACCCGACAUUUUCACCCUCCUCCGGCCUCCUCUGGCCACGGACCCGGCCUUCCCCGAGCUCGCCGUCGCACGCCCAGCCGUUACCUGCCACCAUCUUGCCCCGCCGCUGCCCCCAGAUGGAGAUCGAAGACGCCCCAGCCGUGUGAACCCGACCCGACCGGAAAACGACUUUUCCGGCGUUGCAUGGGCCGAUCGUCCCCAUUUUCGUGAUCUCCUCCUCAUGCUGAUCAUCCCCAUACGCACGAGAUUAAUCCAACUUCAACGCUUGAUUUAGGACGAUCUAGGCCGAACCAGGCUUAGCUCCAGGUGAUUGACGGUUUGAGUUGGUGGACGAUUGUGGAUCGUAUUUUGAGCUGAAUUGAAGACGCAGCGGGAUUAUCGAGGUGAGUAAACCUCACGUGGUUCAUAUUACGAACCCAAUACAAUUAAUUGCUUUAUUUUGUUGCAAUCAUAUGAACUAUUGUUGGUGUUAUUAGACAUUCCUGUGUGAAUGUCUGUAUAUAUAUUAUUACGUGAAAUAAUAUGUAUUGUUGGAGUUGUGUUGAGUUAUUGUUGAGAAACAAUAUAUUGUGAGAGAUAUUGAGUUUAUUGUUGAGAAACAAUAUAUUGUGAGAGGUGUUGAGUUUUAUUGUUGAGGAACAAUAAAUUGUUGUGAUCUGUGGAGAUCACUAGGUCACGAGGUGACCAUGGCAUCUAUUAGUGAAUCACGCUCUCGUACCGGGCUGGUGGUUAUUAAUAGUAUUAAAUCGUAAUCACGUCUGUGGCCGGACGAGUGGUUACGUUCAGUUAGAGCUCUAGUCUGUCUGCCAAAUGUGGAGUGACCUUAUGAGUGAAAUUGAGAGUAACUCAUAAGUGUCAAUAUAUAUAUGGUAACCUUAUGAGGGAAAUUGAGAGUAACUCAUAAGGGUCUAUAUAUAUAUAUGAGUCUGUCUACCAAAUGUUGGGAAAUCUUAUGAGCGAAUUUGAGAGUAACUCAUAAGUGUCUAUAUAUAUAUAUGAGAGUGAGUGAUCUUAUGAGCUAAAUUGAGAGUAACUCAUAAGUGUCUAUAUAUAUAUAUGAGAGUGAGAAAGUAACGUGGGUUUGUGGUAGUCUUGAAAUCUAAUAAAUCAACAGUUCUUUCUUGUUUACUCAUACUGGCUGUAAAAAGCUUACCGGGUUUUGUGUUGUUGCAACUCCCGGUACACUAUUCAAAUUGUGUAGCGGGUAAUCCUACAGGACAGGAGAACCAGGACGGUGAUCGUGCGGUUAGAGCAAUUGUUAGAGUUUUACAACAAUUGUAAGU
This is a long non-coding RNA of Rosa rugosa (rugosa rose), 1636 nucleotides long. RefSeq lists it as uncharacterized. The transcript is spliced from 3 exons. The record is from RefSeq and is a predicted model, not a curated record. NCBI's taxonomy places the organism in Eukaryota, Viridiplantae, Streptophyta, Magnoliopsida, Rosales, Rosaceae.